AGGACGAACGCUGGCGGCGUGCUUAACACAUGCAAGUCGAGCGGAAAGGCCCUUCGGGGUACGUCGAGCGGCGAACGGGUGGAGUAACACGUGAGCAACCUGCCCUUAGCUCUGGGAUAGCUCCGGGAAACCGGAAUUAAUACCGGAUAUUACACCGGCUGGCAUCGGCUGGUGUGGAAAGAUUUAUCGGCUAAGGAUGGACUCGCGGCCUAUCAGCUUGUUGGUGGGGUAGAAGCCUACCAAGGCGACGACGGGUA
This 257-nucleotide ribosomal RNA is filed under the name uncultured bacterium. RNAcentral describes it as "partial small subunit ribosomal RNA". It matches the Rfam family "Bacterial small subunit ribosomal RNA", at positions 26 to 285 of the family's 1533-position model. The record is from RNAcentral.